RNAcentral lists this ribosomal RNA (468 nucleotides) under uncultured bacterium. RNAcentral's name for it is "partial 16S ribosomal RNA". It matches the Rfam family "Bacterial small subunit ribosomal RNA", at positions 28 to 507 of the family's 1533-position model. The record is from RNAcentral.
GACGAACGCUGGCGGCGUGCUUAACACAUGCAAGUCGAACGGAAAGGCCCUGCUUUUGUGGGGUGCUCGAGUGGCGAACGGGUGAGUAACACGUGAGUAACCUGCCCUUGACUUUGGGAUAACUUCAGGAAACUGGGGCUAAUACCGGAUAGGAGCUCCUGCUGCAUGGUGGGGGUUGGAAAGUUUCGGCGGUUGGGGAUGGACUCGCGGCUUAUCAGCUUGUUGGUGGGGUAGUGGCUUACCAAGGCUUUGACGGGUAGCCGGCCUGAGAGGGUGACCGGCAACAUGGGGACUGAGAGACGGCCCAGACUCCUACGGGAGGAAGAAGUGGGGAAUAUUGCAAAAGGGGCGGAAGCCUGAGGCAGCAACGCCGCGUGCGGGAUGACGGCCUUCGGGUUGUAAACCGCUUUCGCCUGUGACGAAGCGUGAGUGACGGUAAUGGGUAAAGAAGCACCGGCUAACUACGUG